Rhipicephalus microplus (southern cattle tick) is the source of this 2809-nucleotide RNA transcript. It is a transcript of the gene named Drosulfakinin, with no coding region annotated. Lineage: Eukaryota; Metazoa; Arthropoda; Arachnida; Ixodida; Ixodidae. The record is from RefSeq and is a predicted model, not a curated record.
GACACCACGUGAUCCGAGAAACAACAGUGACGUCACAUGAAGAGGAAGAGAAGUACUGUUGUUUUUAGCCGGCUUCUUGAGGUGCAUGUGCGGCGAAACACGCCAGUUUCUCUCGCUCCAACUUUCUCUCACUGAGAGGAGGAAGAGAUGGGCCGUUGAACUGAGAGCCCGUACUUCGCGUUGUCUGUGUCUCCCGAUCCGUUCGCUCUUGAGCGUCUCGGAACGGCGUUGGCUGGGCAGUGCGCGAGCGGUGGUUCAUGGUCGGUGUGGUGAUGCUUCUCCGGUGUGCCGUGUAGCAAAAUGCCCGUGCCCGAGGUGCGAUACCAGCACAAAUUCUACCGUGACGCAUCGAUCGGAUUAAGAGAUUGACCACUACGCUUGUGGGCCAAGACAGCCAUGGACAUCAACACAUGGUCACGGUGACGCAGCUGCUGAUGUCUGGCGGCUAACGAAAGGAAAACAAGCUCCCGUGAAACGAACACCUGAAAAAAGAGUCACCCGCCGGUUAAAACGUGACCGUUACCAAAGCAAUGGACGGAGCACCGAUUAUACUGACUCCCACAUCGACCGACGCCACGAGGCAUGAGAACCACAAGAGAGCGGAUAUCACCGCCACUACAAAACUGACAUCGCCGAAGCACGAUGAGAAAGAUGUGAAGAAGGACGGUCAGCAUGGACUGACCUAUCCAGAGGACAUCUCGACGAACCACAACCCCGGCUACGCCAGUUUCGUAGACGAGUCGGACAUGGUGGUCUUAAGGCUGCUCGAGCUCUUGCACAGCGUACUAUUGUUCGGCAUGAAACUGCUCAAGAGCCACGGUCGAUACGCUUACUCAGCCUCGUGAUCGAUUCCACGAACUGCGAGUACAAAUAGCGGCGUAUAGAUCGACAAACUGUUCGUUACAGAGGCGCUCUUCCUCUCGUACAACAAGUGCCGAGCGUGAUUAGUGCACAUAUCACUAUUUCUUGGGGCCAAACACAGUGUACUCGUUCCGCACGUCAUCAAUGCGCAACACGCGUUACGUUAACUACGCGUAGGUCAGUUUGUGCACGUACCGUUGAUCAAGCAGGCGUCCUGUUUUGCUGUGUUCAAGCGAGGUCAAGUAUACCAUCAAGGUCACGGUAGCGAAACGCGAAUAAGCGACGCGUGCCCGCACGUUCCACUGUAUCAAAGCGACCGGAACUGCUGAGCGAGCUAGCGGUCGUGGCCGUUGCUCAUGCCCCACGCCCCUUAUUCAUUUAUUUACAACAGUUACAUGACAGUUUGAAUUGCGCUUAUAAUUUUUUAUUCUUCAUAUGUUGCCUUACGUUUGUAGUUCCAAGUCUCACAACUUAAUUCAUUCAUGAAAUGUUGAUGGCAAGAAAAGGCUAGUGGAUCUUAUACUUAUAAUAAAAACACCUCACAUGUAUUAAAACAGCCUGACUGAAAAAACCAGUUGUUCGAAAUGCACGCUAUGCGCGUUUAAAUACACUCGUCGACUGCCCUCGCAGUAUUGAUGUCUGAUAUGUUUGACAAUUUGAAAUAACUGCUCGAUUAUAUAAACUCAUUCGCACGAAUGAUUAGCCGAGUUCAUUCAACUAGAACAUUUCCGCGAUUAUCUAUGAGUGGAUACGAAAUAUUAUUAGUGAUAGCUGAUAGCGGCGACAAGUCAUGCGAACUAUAGGGCAUUGAAGACCUCACUGACUCCCUAAUUCUGAGUUGAAAAUUGCCCUCCCAAAUACAAACGAAAUAAAGCGCACAUUUUGCGAUUUGCCACAGAGCUCCUUAAAUAUGUGCCCUAUAGAAAAUAAAAUGUGCCAAUGAAAAAAAAAUCGAACAAUUUGUCGCAUUGACGCCCGUUGACAAUGAUCUCAAAGAACGCGGUUAAGUGUCAUAUUUGAAUGGCAAUCAGCAAUUAAGAAGCAUUCAUGGUCUCUUGCAGCAUUGCGCCGUUAGAGGAUUUCAUAAUUACAAAAUAAUUACACCAGCCCCUUAAGCCCAGCUUCACUACGGCUUACGAAGCAACCACAGAGGCGUAAUAAAACGUGGGCAACGUGUAGCGGUAUACGCUAAACCAUCGAACAAGAUAUCUGAGCGUUCCUACACCACGCCCUGUGUAAUAUCGUAACACAUGUAGUACAGUGAAAAAAAUUUUCAACAAGCGGCGCCGCUGUCUCAGUUUUCGCAUCCCUGCAAGCUUCCAUUUUCCGCUGUACGUCCAUCACACUUAUAUAGCACGAAUUACCGUAAUGUGUUGCCUCGUCAUCUCAAAAGCAUUACCGACAACCGCUGCGCGCAUGGUGCAUCGAAAACAUUUCGGCGAUUUGACAAGACUUGUUGUGUUAGCGUCAAUAAAGCCAGACCAUAAAGUUGGCAGAUUAGCUUUUUGUGUCUGCCAUAGGGCACGCCAGAACAUGUUCGAGUCUGUAUUAAUCACGUGCCACGCAAAAGCAAUCGAAAGCAGUCCCCAUGCUUCAGUGCUGCUGCCAGCUUUACACUAGCGUCCUUGUUUAUCUACCAGUUGGAGUAUAUAUAGGCACUAUCUUAAACAAUUGAGUAAUGAUACCAACACAAAUUCCACAGUUGCGCAUGGAGAAAGCACCAGAGAUACGAGGGACUCAAGAUGAUGCCGACAAGUCUUUCAUCGUGACCGAUUUUUAAGUCAACUAUAUGGUGUCCAAUGGCACGCAGUCGUACCGGAUGUUUAUUUGUUCGAAUGUUAACCUAGUUUGAUAUUUAUACUUUUGUAAAGAGAUGUUGAAUUAUUUAUGAUAUUUAUAUAAAAGUUAACACGUCUUGUUUUUACCAAUAAAGAAGUUGUACGAUUUC